This 265-nucleotide long non-coding RNA is filed under the name Volvox carteri. RNAcentral describes it as "long non-coding RNA (VCAR_LNC002681)". Lineage: Eukaryota; Viridiplantae; Chlorophyta; Chlorophyceae; Chlamydomonadales; Volvocaceae. The record is from RNAcentral.
UCAGUAAAAUUGGAAGUCACCUAUAGGCCGGGCCAUCGCCUAAUAGGUAGGACCGCGGAAUAUGUGGAGUAUAGGUGAUUUCGCGUAUAUGAUCGUAUACAUCACACCUAUAGGCGAUCUGUUGUAUACAGCAUGGCCUAUAGGCCUGUAGGCUAUAGGUUACCAUGUGUACGCAUGCAAAACUGUGAGAGCCUAAUAGUCCGUUGUAUAAAGGUAUGCCUUUAUGUAGGCCACUCGUGUAUACAGUGUUCGGGGCAAAGCUGCA